AUGGUGGGGCGGGGGGACGGGGGAGAGUUUCCAAAGGCUUCAUACUCCCAAGAGGUUCCCAAACUCCAAGCUGGACACUCCAUCCCCGAUCCUCACUGCAGAGAACAGACUCCUGAGCUCCAGAAAGCCUGGGGACUGACCACAGCUCCCCGAGGAGCUCCUGCAGAGCCUGGAAGUCCAGGGCUGAGGCCUGUUACCGUCACAUCACUGUCUCUGCCUCAGCCUGCACAUGGCUUUCCCCUCUUCUGUGUCCCUGCCUUGUCUCCUCUAAGGACACUUUUGAUGACACGGAGACCCCACCUGGGUAAUCUAGGAUGAUCGGAUCUCAGUAUCCUUGACAUCUACAAAGGACCCUUUCUCCAGAUAAGGUCAUAUCCACAGGUUCCAGGGAUAAAGAUGUGGACUUAUCUUUUGGGGGCCGCCAUUCAACCCGGUGCAACCACGAGCGUUAUCACUGCUGUCAGCAUCCUUACAAACAUCAGUUAAGUACUAAUGUACCAGGCUUAGUCUGGGUGCUUUUCCUGUACCAUCUCCUUUAGUCCUUAAGACAAACUUAGGGCAGGUACUGUUAUUAUCCCCAUUUAAUAAGGACAUCGAGGCUCAGGGAGAAGUGAGCCCUUGUCCAGGGUCUCCCUUGAAACCCAGGCAGUCUGAUUUCAGUGUCUCCUGCCUUGCCAUAGUUACCUUGCUCCACCCCAUCCUGUUUCUGAUCAUACAGAUAAUUCCAUGGCAGAAUCAGUGUGGGACAAUGAGCACCCAAAUGGGUGGCAAGGUGCCUGGGUUCUGAUCUAGGUUCUGCCAUUAGACAGAGGCAGAUGCCAGCCGGGUCUCUUCCCCACUCUGGGCCUCAGUGUGCCCAUUGGUAAAAUCGGAAAGUGGUUGGUUUGGAUAAUCUCCAAGAUCCUCCCAGCUCUUAAGUUCUGUGAUGCUGGGUGUCAUCUGUCAACUUGCUUCUAUUCAAAUGCUGCCCACAGCUCAACUCUCUAAAUCUGCUACCUACUGCCAGAGAUGGGUUUGCUUGGAAGGCUGGCGGAAGGGGGAACAAGUGCUGGUGACAGAGACACGAAGGGUGGUGCUGGCUUCCCUACUUUCCCUCUCUCUUCCCGUACCACCAGGCUGGCAGCACCCUGCUGUGGAAGGACUAGGGGGUGGGGGUACUCUCUUCUCUUGGAGCCCAAGACUUUUGGUCCAUACAUUCAGGGAGGGAUUCCAAAGUUGAGAGCUGUCAUGGUUUUUGGGAACAGAGCCCCAGACCCACAGGCUUUAGCCAGAAGCUGGCCCUCACAGUAGGCUCCAGAAAUCAUCUGGGGGCUGGAAAAGUCCUUGUUGAUCAUCUAAGGCCAAGAGACUGGGAGAGGCCACAGCAACCCAAUCCCAAGCCUCCUGCCCUUGGAAGUUGCGGGGGUGGGGGGGUGGAAAACACAAAACAGGCUGGGGGGAGUCUCUGAAUGUCACUUCCAAAGCCUGGCCUGCUCAUUAGGAGUCGUUUGUUUAUAAGUAUAAACAGAUUUUAAAAGUCCUUUUUAGAUUGUGAACUCAGGCCCUUUUCCUCUGGCUUCUUCCUCUGCUUCUCUGUACAGAACACGACUGUUUGCAUUUCAGCUAAGAGUGGGGAGUUAGGGACAGAAUUGCCAACUUUCAUUAGCAGGUGAGAUUAACAUCUCAGCAGGGGCCUGGGGGGGUGGGGCAUCUUCAGGUCCAUCCGAUCCCCCACGGACACAUCCCCCGACACAUUCCCAGUUGAGGGCUCCCGGUGGGGGUAAGCCUGGAGUUGGAAGAACCAGGGGCAGUUUAUACCUGCCGAGUUCAUCUCCCCUCGCCCGGCCUCAAGCUGAGCCUCACCCCUCUUCCGAGGCCCCGGGUCCAAACACUGGCUCUGCUCCCCGGUCUCUGCUGCGUUUGUCCCUGCAGGUGUCUGGGCAGAAUGAAACCUAGCUGUGUGACCAUGGGCCACUUACUCACUCUCUCAGGGUACAGGAGUUUUAAGUGGGGAGGUUUGUUGGAAGCCAAGCCCCAAGCGCGAGUGGAAGAAUUCGACCCUCCUCGCGGUUCACGCGCCACCAGCCUCCCCUGGCUGGGUUUCAGGCAAGACCGAGAAUUUUUUGGUCUUUAUCCGGUUUAGUUUCUUGUGCUUCCAGCGGCAGCGGGGCUGUUCACCACAGUCCCCAGGAAAUUGUCCACGUAGGACAGAGCCUUCCCGAGGAGAAUGAAGUCAUCUGUUCCUUUUUUAAAAAAUUUUUGUUGCCUUCUCCUUCAACACGAGUCACCCGGCCUCUGCACUUUCCCCCCCGCGCAAACAACAGGCCCGGCGAGGUGGGGUCGGCCGGGCCGGCGUGGGGAUGGGGCGAGGAGCGAACCCCACGGGCCGGGGGGGCUGCCCGGGGGUGGGGAGCGCGCCCCCUUCUCCGCCCCGAUCCCCGCCCACCGCCCCCCCCCACCCCGCUUCCACUCUCGACUAACCCCGGGAACGCCCGAAAGGUGAGCUCCCGGGAGGGCCGCCCGCGCUCCGGCGCGGCCAGCUCGGCAAACAAUAACAGUAAAUAACGCUUCCUUGUCAACGUAAUAAAAACGGAAACGGUUACA
Molecule: long non-coding RNA, 2583 nt
Organism: Bos indicus x Bos taurus (hybrid cattle)
Lineage: Eukaryota; Metazoa; Chordata; Mammalia; Artiodactyla; Bovidae
Source: Ensembl